RNAcentral lists this ribosomal RNA (483 nucleotides) under Treponema sp. oral taxon 232. Its description in RNAcentral is "bacterial SSU rRNA". It matches the Rfam family "Bacterial small subunit ribosomal RNA", at positions 30 to 495 of the family's 1533-position model. The record is from RNAcentral. Lineage: Bacteria; Pseudomonadati; Spirochaetota; Spirochaetia; Treponematales; Treponemataceae.
AACGAACGCUGGCGGCGCGUCUUAAGCAUGCAAGUCGAACGGCAAGAGAGGAGCUUGCUUCUCUCCUAGAGUGGCGGACUGGUGAGGAACGCGUGGGUAAUCUACCCUUAAGAUGGGGAUAGCCGCUAGAAAUAGCGGGUAAUACCGAAUAGACUUAUAGCUGAGAAAGAAGUGAUAAGGAAAGGAAGCUAAGGCUUCGCUUAAGGAUGAGCCUGCGUCCCAUUAGCUAGUUGGUAAGGUAACGGCCUACCAAGGCGACGAUGGGUAUCCGGCCUGAGAGGGUGAACGGACACAUUGGGACUGAGAUACGGCCCAAACUCCUACGGGAGGCAGCAGCUAAGAAUAUUCCGCAAUGGACGGAAGUCUGACGGAGCGACACCGCGUGGAUGAAGAAGGCUGAAAAGUUGUAAAUUCUUUUGCUGAUGAAGAAUAAAGAUAAGAGGGAACGCUUAUCAGAUGACGGUAGUCGGCGAAUAAGCCCCG